This 488-nucleotide ribosomal RNA is filed under the name uncultured bacterium. RNAcentral describes it as "partial 16S ribosomal RNA". It matches the Rfam family "Bacterial small subunit ribosomal RNA", at positions 30 to 507 of the family's 1533-position model. The record is from RNAcentral.
AUUGAACGCUGGCGGCAUGCUUUACACAUGCAAGUCGAACGGCAGCACAGGGAGCUUGCUCCUGGGUGGCGAGUGGCGAACGGGUGAGUAAUGUAUCGGAACGUGCCUGGUAGUGGGGGAUAACUACUCGAAAGAGUGGCUAAUACCGCAUGAGAUCUUUGGAUGAAAGCGGGGGACCUUCGGGCCUCGUGCUACUGGAGCGGCCGAUAUCAGAUUAGGUUGUUGGUGGGGUAAAGGCUUACCAAGCCUGCGAUCUGUAGCUGGUCUGAGAGGACGACCAGCCACACUGGGACUGAGACACGGCCCAGACUCCUACGGGAGGCAGCAGUGGGGAAUUUUGGACAAUGGGCGCAAGCCUGAUCCAGCAAUGCCGCGUGCAGGACGAAGGCCUUCGGGUUGUAAACUGCUUUUGUACAGAACGAAAAGUCUCUGGCUAAUAUCUAGAGAUCAUGACGGUACUGUAAGAAUAAGCACCGGCUAACUACGUG